AAGAGCUCCUAUCGACAAGCGGGUUUACGACCUCGAUGUUGGAUCAGGGUAUCCCAGUGGUGCAGCCGCUACUAAAGGUUCGUUUGUUCAACGAUUAAAACCCUACGUGAUCUGAGUUCAGACCGGAGUAAUCCAGGUCAGUUUCUAUCUAUAAAGGGCUUUUUCUAGUACGAAAGGACCGAAAAAACACGGCCUAUGCUUAGUGCAAGCCGAAUUCACUAAUUUAUGACUUAAACUUAAUAAACAAUCAACCUACAACCAAGCUCUAGACAAGAGU
Molecule: ribosomal RNA, 277 nt
Filed under: Sarcohyla cyclada
Lineage: Eukaryota; Metazoa; Chordata; Amphibia; Anura; Hylidae
Description: partial 16S ribosomal RNA
Rfam family: Bacterial large subunit ribosomal RNA
Source: RNAcentral